Molecule: small nuclear RNA, 161 nt
Organism: Artibeus jamaicensis (Jamaican fruit-eating bat)
Lineage: Eukaryota; Metazoa; Chordata; Mammalia; Chiroptera; Phyllostomidae
Product: U1 spliceosomal RNA
Exons: 1
Source: RefSeq, a predicted model, not a curated record
AUAUUUACCUGGCAGGAGAGAUACCGUGAUCACAAAGGUGGUUUUUCCAGGGCGAGACUUAUCCAUUGUACUCUGGAUGUGCUGACCCUUGCAAUUUCCCCAAAUGUGGGAAACUUAACUGCAUAAUUUGUGGUGUGGGGGACUGUGUUCAUUUUCUCACU